RNAcentral lists this ribosomal RNA (245 nucleotides) under uncultured bacterium. Its description in RNAcentral is "partial 16S ribosomal RNA". It matches the Rfam family "Bacterial small subunit ribosomal RNA", at positions 528 to 772 of the family's 1533-position model. The record is from RNAcentral.
UAGGGGGCAAGCGUUAUCCGGAUUUACUGGGUGUAAAGGGAGCGUAGGUGGUUCGGCAAGUCAGAAGUGAAAGCCCGGGGCCCAACCCCGGGACUGCUUUUGAAACUGUCGGACUUGAGUGCUAGAGAGGUAAGUGGAAUUCCUAGUGUAGCGGUGAAAUGCGUAGAUAUUAGGAGGAACACCAGUGGCGAAGGCGGCUUACUGGACAGUAACUGACACUGAGGCUCGAAAGCGUGGGGAGCAAA